AAAACGGGAGGGAAAAGAAAAAAAGGUAAAGAAAGAAAGAAAUGGCUCGAAUCGAAAGUGCUUCAAUUUGGUUAAUUUUUGCAGUACUUUCGGUUUUGAGCAACAAGAUCCAUAUUGCGGAAGGGAAUAAGAUAUACAAUGAUUGUCGCCAUUAUUGUAAAAAUGAUUUGAAAAAAGAUGCUCUUACCUGCUGGAUUUGGUGUAACAUGAGAUGC
Molecule: long non-coding RNA, 215 nt
Filed under: Citrus maxima (pomelo)
Lineage: Eukaryota; Viridiplantae; Streptophyta; Magnoliopsida; Sapindales; Rutaceae
Description: long non-coding RNA (CMAX_LNC001508)
Source: RNAcentral